UGUUCACUCAGACACAUGGGGAUCUCAAGCUAUUGCUGACUAAUUGAUAGUUGUAGUAACUGCUAUAGGCUCCUUAGAUUAGAAAUGCAUGCAGACGUGUGUCUUGAUUCAAACAUUAAGGAACACACACUCUCACUUACUUACAUGGGCAGAAAGUCUUCAUACUAAUAGAGGUGUGGGAUGGAGAUAGCAGGACAUAAAACAGAAGAGAGAGAGAGGGAGAGAGAGAGACAGAGACAGAGAGAUGGCAUGCAGCAUAUAUACCCCUACAAAUAGUUCUAAAAUGCGUUUGCCAAUGGAGAAGUCUUCAGAACCUUCCAACAGUUCAGAACACCCUUUUUCUCUCUUCUCUGCGGGACGUCUCCUCCAGAUUACUCGAAAAAAGCGGAAAAGGUCGCAUUGUACUAUAGAGCCAGAUUGUCAACUGCGAUAAACUAGCAUAACUACACUGAAGGCAAGGAAACUUCCGGUUUACACUAGCUGAGGAUCUCGCUGAUAGUUUUACCCUCUUCAGUCACGAAAAGGUGGAUGUCAGAUUUCAACAGCAUAGAGCAAAGGAGUGGGGAAAAGAGAGGUGUGUUUUUAAGCAGGCCAAUAGAAUGAAAUACCCCUAUAGCUCACACAAGGAGGAUGUAAAAGCAGCAAAGAGUCCUGUGGCACUUUAUAGACUAACAGACAUAUUGGAGCAUGAGCUUUCGUGGAUGAAUACCCACUUCGUCAGAUGCAUGUACAGGGAGGAUGCAGCUUUUCAAAUGACAAAGAGUCUGCAUUCAUCAAAGUGCUGGCAUCCGUACCAAAGCCAUCUAGUCAUCGCAGCCUCGUGUAUUUAGACAUCUCUGCACUUUAAUUAUAAAAAUGUAACUGACCACACCCUGCAUGAAACUCUGUACAGCCCAUAGAGAUAUCUACUGGCUGAAUAAUACCCUGCAAGUAAACAGAUAGAAGAAGAAGCUGAAGUUGAAAAGAGCUGCUUCUCCUGGUGUUUCCAGUCUGAAAGGAGGGGAUAUUUUGUUUCCUUCUCUAUAUUUUCUGCCAUGUCAUGCCCCAAUCCAGGUUUUCCUCUGCAUGCAUUCUGAGCCAUCUUCCCUCUGAAUCCUGACCUGCAGAAGAGUGAGGAGAAAACAGUUUUUCAUGCUGAUCUAUUUUUGUUGAUGUAGAUCACUGCUGUUCAGAGUUGGCUGAGAAGAGGGGCAGGCUCAAGACCACUUCCUUUGCUUGAGGAACGCAGCUACCGCACUAGCACAGGACUGGCCUGGGGAACACAGCAGAAAACAAUUUUCAGGAUCUCCCUUGGCAACUGGGUUGACUGGACUUCCACCAGGUGAGAAGAAUCAUAGAGACAAAGUUAGAUUCAGAGGCAUACUGCUUCUGAGACAAGAACCCGGCCAUAUAAAUGAAUUCAAUUUCCAGUGACCAAUGGGAAGCUCCAGAGUACCACAGAAGUAGCUGUUCUAGGAGAGGAGAUGCCAAAAAUCUGAUGAGAGACCGUGUUCUUUUAGUCCUACAUUCUGGCCUCGCAAUUUGCGCAUCAAGGAGUUUACAAUCCAAGCCACAACAGGUGGAAGGGAGGACAAGGAGACAAUGAAACAGUUAAGAUCACCACAGCAAGCAGCAGUCACAGCAUACCAGCUGCCUAACCUGUCAAGAGUGUUGUAGGCAUCACAACAGAUGGCGAGGAUCUAAGGAGAAAUUCGAAGGAGGGUGGAGUAGUAGCCUUGUAGGAUUUGCUUCUGCUCCUAGGCAGCACUUGCAUUAAUGCUAGGCUGGAUUCCCUGCCCUCAGCUCUGCUUAUCACAUGGUAUAUAUCCAAUGCUCUAUACCAGUCGUUCUUAACCUUUACUGCAGCCUGCACCCCUUUGGUUCUCAAAAUAUAUUC
Long non-coding RNA from Gopherus evgoodei (Goodes thornscrub tortoise), 1876 nucleotides. RefSeq lists it as uncharacterized. The transcript has 9 exons. NCBI's taxonomy places the organism in Eukaryota, Metazoa, Chordata, Testudines, Testudinidae. The record is from RefSeq and is a predicted model, not a curated record.